UACGUAGGUGGCAAGCGUUGUCCGGAUUUACUGGGCGUAAAGAGCGCGCAGGCGGUUGUUUAAGUCGAAUGUGAAAGCCCCCGGCUCAACUGGGGAGGGUCAUUCGAUACUGAUCGACUUGAAGGCAGGAGAGGUAUGUGGAAUUCCUGGUGUAGCGGUGAAAUGCGUUGAUAUCAGGAGGAACACCCAUGGCGAAGGCAGCAUACUGGUCAUCAUCUGACGCUGAGGCGCGAAAGCGAGGGUAGCAAACAGG
RNAcentral lists this ribosomal RNA (253 nucleotides) under uncultured bacterium. RNAcentral describes it as "partial 16S ribosomal RNA". It matches the Rfam family "Bacterial small subunit ribosomal RNA", at positions 524 to 776 of the family's 1533-position model. The record is from RNAcentral.